UNUGCCACUGACGCUGAGGCUCGAAAGCGUGGGUAGCGAACAGGAUUAGAUACCCUGGUAGUNCACGCCGUAAACGAUGAGUGCUAGGUGUUAGGCCCUUUCCGGGGCUUAGUGCCGGAGCUAACGCAAUAAGCACUCCGCCUGGGGAGUACGACCGCAAGGUUGAAACUCAAAGGAAUUGACGGGGGCCCGCACAAGCGGUGGAGCAUGUGGUUUAAUUCGAAGCAACGCGAAGAACCUUACCAGGUCUUGACAUCCCGAUGCUAUUCUUAGAGAUAGGAAGUUACUUCGGUACAUCGGAGACAGGUGGUGCAUGGUUGUCGUCAGCUCGUGUCGUGAGAUGUUGGGUUAAGUCCCGCAACGAGCGCAACCCUUAUUGUUAGUUGCCAUCAUUAAGUUGGGCACUCUAGCGAGACUGCCGGUAAUAAACCGGAGGAAGGUGGGGAUGACGUCAAAUCAUCAUGCCCCUUAUGACCUGGGCUACACACGUGUUACAAUGGCCGGUACAACGAGUUGCGAGCCGGUGACGGCAAGCUAAUCUCUGAAAGCCGAUCUCAGUUCGGAUUGGAGGCUGCAACUCGCCUCCAUGAAGUCGGAAUCGCUAGUAAUCGCGGAUCAGCACGCCGCGGUGAAUACGUUCCCGGGCCUUGUACACACCGCCCGUCACACCACGAGAGUUUGUAACACCCGAA
Molecule: ribosomal RNA, 692 nt
Filed under: uncultured bacterium
Lineage: Bacteria
Description: bacterial SSU rRNA
Rfam family: Bacterial small subunit ribosomal RNA
Source: RNAcentral